CGCCAGCCCGCGCGGCUCGCCUCCUUCGCCGCCCCCGCCCCUCCCGCGUCUCUCCCUAGGCUGGCGGCGGGGCUGGAGCUGGGCUUUUAUCUCCCGGCUGGCGCUGGUCGGAGCCAGAUCCCGUAGUCCUCUGAGACGUCAGGCUGCAGCCUUCGUUCCGCUCCGCAUCCUCAGCCCGCGCUCGCGCCUCCCGUUGGAGCACCGUCUCACCUGUCCGCACCCUGCCUCCCACCGGGCGAGAAGUCGCUGGGGGGUCCAACCCCGACUGUCCAGCUCUCAGCCCUCCGUUCUCCUCUCAAGGAAGGGGCAGCGGAUGAAGUGAGACGAUGGUUAUCCGAGUGUUCAUCGCCUCCUCCUCAGGCUUUGUGGCGGAUUAUGACAGCUUUUUUGAAUCAAAGGAAAGCAAUACCGUCUUUUCAUUCUUAGGCCUGAAAGCAAGAUUGCCAUCAAAGGCAGAGCCCUAAGAGUGGAAAGGAAACUAUGAAGACAGAAGUACAUUUGGAAGAGCAAGUGAGGUGUUCAGCAAACAGCCGCUUACCUAAUAGAUCACUGUGAUAAAAGCUACUUGCAACAUCAGCACUUUGCUUGCCACUGAAGAAAUGCUUUCCAAAGAUGUGGGACCACUGGGCAUUACAAAAAUCUAUAAAUCAAAUUGGUCAUAUGGUGGAUUGUUCCUUAUUUUCUGAUUUACCUACAGUUGAUGAGCUGUCUUUGGGGAGUCUUUUACUGGGUACUCAUAGUCUUGCUUUAUAGUUUCAAAGUUAAGUGGAUGGUAGUCACUAGAUGAUAAUUGUAGUAUCCCUAUGCUAUUGCAGUAUAUACCCAUGUUAGUUAGACAUGCUUUCCUUUAAGCUAAUGCUGCCCAGAUCAUGUUCUUGAAAUUAGUUUAUUAGGAAUUUGCAUGUCUUGAGCCAGAAAAGGGGGCAGGGGAAAGUGAUGCUUAGAACAAGCAGGGUGAUGAAGAAAAAUGUCUCAUAACUAGGAAUGAUGAUAUUUCUGCUAUUUGUAAAUACCACAUAAAUAUAACUUGAUGUUACAGCCUACUUACUAUUAUAGGAGCUCUUCAAACAUAAGUGAAACAUAUAAGUGACUUGAAUUGAGGAAAAUCUUCCUAGAGUAUUGAAAACUCUAAUGAUAUUUUGGAAAGUAUCUGGGUUUGUUUGUUUUUUUCUUUCUCCUUAGAAAAAUUUUCCACUUAAAUGCCAUAAGAUGCUUGACAGAGAUAUUUUAAAUUGUGAAGGCCAUGCACUAAUUUAAUCAAAACUUAAUAAGAAAAUGUUUGAGUUACAUCUGAAAGUUUUGUGACUACAGAGAUAUAUUAUAUGUAUGUAUGUGCAUAUAUGUAUAUAUACACACAUAUAUAUCUAUAUGUAUAUCCCACACAUAUAUAUUUUUAGUGUACCCCUUCCCAAUAGCUACUUAUUGUUUCUUGUAAAAGGAUUAUAUUUUUUGAAAAGGGAGCUCUUGGCUAGAUAUAUUUUGUGUACCCACUGAUGAGUAAUAUUAAAUGAUACUAAUACCUCUGCAUAAGUGAAUAUUUCUUUCUAUGUAACCUUUCCUUUAACCUUGCUUCUCCUGGGCCCUAUGCUAACUUUAAUCUUUUAAAAAUUUAAACAUUUCAACUUAAUGCAGAUAAAUACAGUUUUCCUACUAAUCCUGCCUUCAAGGAUAAAUUUGCAGACUAUGCAUUUGCAACAGAAUUACUUUAUGGCAUACAGUAUCCUUUCCCUCCCACUAUAACUAUAAACUUUGUUAGGUGAUUCUCCCAUUUAGACAGAUGUGCUUUUCUGCAUCUUAAGUGUUCUUAGUGUAAACAAUUUGUAUUUUUAUAGUAUGUGAUAGCUAAAUAUGGGACUUUGGUAUGUUCUUUGCAUAAGACAUCUCAGAGCACCCUUGAAAAACUCCUUGAUCUGCAUACAGACACACACAUAUACACAUACUCACAUCUACAUGUACAACAAUAUCUGAGCUAUUAGGCCCAGAGAACUAACACAGAAUUUCAGCAGUUUAUAUAAAAUUGAAAGAACAGCUGAAAUGUCCACAAAUCUAUUUACCUGAACAAUUUAUUCAAUGGGGAAGCAUUUCAUUGUGAAAAUUAAAACAAAAACUCAGACCAGAUAUUUGUAGUCCAACACUUUAACCAAAAAAAA
Long non-coding RNA from Sarcophilus harrisii (Tasmanian devil), 2150 nucleotides. The record is from Ensembl. NCBI's taxonomy places the organism in Eukaryota, Metazoa, Chordata, Mammalia, Dasyuromorphia, Dasyuridae.